RNAcentral lists this ribosomal RNA (476 nucleotides) under uncultured bacterium. RNAcentral's name for it is "bacterial SSU rRNA". It matches the Rfam family "Bacterial small subunit ribosomal RNA", at positions 29 to 524 of the family's 1533-position model. The record is from RNAcentral.
AACGAACGCUGGCGGCAUGCCUAACACAUGCAAGUCGAACGAAGUCUUCGGACUUAGUGGCGCACGGGUGCGUAACGCGUGGGAAUCUGCCCUUGGGUGCGGAAUAACUUCUCGAAAGGGAUGCUAAUACCGCAUAAUGUCGUAAGACCAAAGAUUUAUCGCCCAAGGAUGAGCCCGCGUAAGAUUAGCUAGUUGGUGGGGUAAAAGCCUACCAAGGCGACGAUCUUUAGCUGGUCUGAGAGGAUGAUCCGCCACACUGGGACUGAGACACGGCCCAGACUCCUACGGGAGGCAGCAGUGGGGAAUUUUGGACAAUGGGGGCAACCCUGAUCCAGCCAUGCCGCGUGAGUGAAGAAGGCCUUCGGUUGUAAGACUCUUUCAGACGGAAAGAAAACGACCCCUCCUAAUACGGGGGUGGAGUGACGGUACUGUCAGAAGAAGCACCGGCGUAACUACGUGCCAGCAGCCGCGGUAAU